AAUCAACCAAAGUAUUCAAAGUUAAUGCUCCUGAUAUACCUCAAUAUCAUUUUGAUUUCGUACCUUUCUCUGAAAUUUUGAGUGCUACUAAAGAAGACAGGUUACUUGAUAUUAUUGGCCAUGUUGUGGAAACAAAUGUCGUCAAUGAAGUUGAGAAAAAUGGAAAAAAGAGUAAGGUUAUGGAUCUGACUAUUGAAGAUUUAGAGAGCAACAAAAUUCAUUGCACAUUGUGGGAG
This is a long non-coding RNA of Vicia villosa (hairy vetch), 236 nucleotides long. RefSeq lists it as uncharacterized. The transcript has 3 exons. NCBI's taxonomy places the organism in Eukaryota, Viridiplantae, Streptophyta, Magnoliopsida, Fabales, Fabaceae. The record is from RefSeq and is a predicted model, not a curated record.